AGUACCGUACCUGUGCAGCUGUU
RNAcentral lists this non-coding RNA (23 nucleotides) under Cricetulus griseus (Chinese hamster). The record is from RNAcentral. Lineage: Eukaryota; Metazoa; Chordata; Mammalia; Rodentia; Cricetidae.